Molecule: non-coding RNA, 6057 nt
Organism: Podarcis lilfordi (Lilford's wall lizard)
Lineage: Eukaryota; Metazoa; Chordata; Lepidosauria; Squamata; Lacertidae
Source: the annotation of a GenBank genome assembly
AGUCUGGACGCCGCUGCUUUCCGCAGGGAGAGGAGAGAUUCUGAUGGGCAGCCAGCCCUGGAGCAGACCUGUCGGGCCAUUUGCUCGCGAUGAUGGAUGGCUCUUUGGGACGGAAGAAGCGAAAGCUAAAUGGAACUUUUAUAGAGCUGGGAGAGGAGGAAGGCUGCAGAGCGAACUCUGCUCGUCUGGCUUCCAGAGGUUGCUGAACUGCAGCACCGACCACUCCUAGCCAGAGGCAUGAUGAGGCACCCUUGGCAAGGAGCGGCCCGGAAAGCACGUGGCUCCUGGCCCCUCUGAGCCAAAGUGGAGGGGCGCUGUUUUUGCAGCUCUCCCCUGGACCUGCGCCCUUGGGACCAACCUGACCAACCCCUAGGUACGCCCUUGCCCCUGCCCAUUGGCAAUGCCGACUGGCGCGGAUGGGAUCCUUCUGGUUGCAGCUCCUUGCCACAGAGGUAGAAAGGGACAACUAGGAUAGUCCGGAGUCUUUCAUCUUCCAAUGACAUCACAGAUUCCCAUCCCUGAAUACGUAAAGCAGAGAUGGAAAACCUGUGCUCCUUUCCCCAUGCUGUUGGGCUCCAGUCAGCAUAGCCCACCGGAAGUACACCUGGAAGGCCACAAUUGUGUGCUUACAAGAUGACUGCAGCCAAGGGAUACCUUUUCCACACACUUUAUCAGCCCCCUCCUAGAGUCACACAGCCUGUGCCACAGAGAGGAAGCAAGUGAUCACAUUCAUGCAGGGUGCAUGUCAAGAAAGUGAACAAAGCCAUUGCCUUUGUAUUAAAUUAUAUGGCCAAGGAGUUAGGCUUCUGGUAAAUGCUGGUCCAUUGAACAGGGAGGGAACACAGAGGCUAAGACUUGUGGGAAUGUUCAGGGAUGCAGGAGAGGAUAUAUUGUUUGAUUAUAGCCUUUCCAACUUGUGUUAACAAGUUCCACAAUUUAGCAGAGUAACAUUCCCCUUUUUAAACUCACAGAGGAUGCAUUUGCUCAGGCUCGCUACAGCCUCUAUAAUAACUGUCCUGGUAUUUUCCCUUUAUUCCCUCAUAAAAGAUAAGAAACAACACAGUCUUCAUAAAAGUAUAAGAAGAGUUUACUCACUCACAUUCUGUUCACAGUUGGAUCCCAGAAGGCAUACUUAGCUUAGAAAAGUAACAUACACCUGGAAACUAUCCCAUAAAGAGACAGUCCCUUUGUCCUCUCUUGGCUGGAAGCCUAGAGAGCAUCUUUGGCUAAGCAGAUGUUGCUUCUUCAAUGAAAGUAGUCGGAGAGAGAGAAAGAUGGUGGCCAGUCCUGUGCUUUUGUUACCUGCACAGGUGAGGCCAUGCCCACCUCUGGUCACAUGUAGAGGAAUUCUGUCCCAGACAGGAGAAACAAGAAGUUUCAACUGGCUGGUCCAGACAUCCCCUUUUAUGUCCACUCUAGGGAUGUUGUACUUGACUGCUCUUGUGUUUCACAUCCCACAAGACAAACCCCAAGAUCAAUCCAUUAAUUCAUGGCAGGGAACUCAAAACAUACAGUGCAAACUUCCACAGGCCUGCCUACCUUUUGCCUGCUAUCAACUCUCCCUUUACCACCACAGUAGUCAACAGGCCUUUCUGCCUGCAACUCCUUGACCUACAGGUAGAAAUGAGCAGCUAGCAUAGCCCUGCUUUCUCUUGCAGCUGCUGUUUUGACACCACUUCUAUACAGGGAUCAAGGAAGAAUGUCACACUCCCUUGCUAUGAUCGGUGUCUUGCUCGCUAGCCUAAAACUUGGUGGCUACAUGUGGCAUGUGCCAUUUCAAAUGUUGCAAUCAUGUAUUACAUGCCCACAUUUUGGGCUUUCCUUGAUCACUGUGUGUGAAUGCAGUCCAUGUGUGAACAAAAUUAACAGUCACACACAAUAAAGCUUUUGUCUUUCUUGUCUGUCAAUGGGUGUCCUCAGUAUAGGAAGAAAGGGGAAUCUCCCACACACAAAAAGCUGGCAGUUAAACUUGGGUUGCACUGAUGGGGUAACACCAGGGAAUUAUUCUAAGUUUAUGCCUAUGUAAAUGAAAUCAACUUGUACUUUGUUCUGUGUUGCUAAGAGAGCCUUGCAGCUUUCUCACGGAGCUGUCUCAAUACAGAAAUAGGAUGCUCUAUAAAAGCAGCAAGGAUUUGAUUUUUCUCUGCCCACGCUUUAAUGCUGUUUAAUUCUUCUUGGUAAUGGCAUUCUAGAUUUAUAAUGGAAAGGCAAGGUCAGUCGUUGGCUUGCUUCGGUUCUAUUUUAUUUAAGAUUCUAUUGAGAAAUCAGAACUUCGAGGCACUACUUCAGUCUUCUGGAGCAGGUACAGGAAAGUCAAUACCUUGUAUUCAAGUUUUCCAGUAACCCUCCCUCCCUUUCUCCAGUGAAGUUUGAUUUUAGUAAAAGAGAUCGCCCCCCCCCCCGAUUUAUCAACUACUAGUUAAAUUAAUUAUUGAAUUCCUUUAAAAAAAACAAAAAAGAAAGAAACCAUCUUAACUGGUAGGUAGAUUAUUGCCUACAAUAUCAAUACUCUUCUAUUUUAUUCUAGGUAUGUCCAUGUUCUCCAUAGGAGUAUAUUCUGGAUCCCUACUGAGUGAAAUAGCUUAAUCACCCUGCAGCAACACGCUGUCUUUCUUUCCUUUGCAGAGACAACACUGAGUAGGUUAAUGGUAUCCAUUGAUUGAUCCAUGCAGACAGUGACCACAAAGGAAAGCACAGUCUACUUUGCAAUUGCUAAUAAGCAGGAAAGAUAAGCCACCAUAAAGCAGCUGAGCUGAUAUAGUAGGGAGGCAAAGGAGCAGGGAAAUUCAUUUUGCCACCCUUACAGACUUUCAGCAGUGCAAAGCCACCUUCUGGCCCCUCAGUCCUUCUCUUUGCCAGUUCCCAGAGUUGCUCUAAUUUGGAAAAACAAGUGCUUUGUGCUUCAGAAUAUUCACAGCCUUAUAAGACUGGCUGUGACCUGGGAAUUGUCUAGUCCACUCCUGUGCAUUGAAACAGAAUCUCUAUACCCUAUGCGCCAACAUUAGUUGUUAUCAACUUGAUUCUAGUGUGCAACAACUAGCAGAGAAGUAGUAACCAUGAUACUCUGGUAUCCUUCAUUAGAAGCUAUAACUCAAGAGAUGGAGCAAGUGCUUUGCAUAAAUCAGUUCUCCCUCCUCCAAUCUUCAAUUAAAGGCACCCUGAGUCAUUGUCCAAUCGUAUGCAGGAAGGAAAAACUCCACACAAGAGAUGGGAGCCAAGGAGUGCUGUUGACAACUUGUAGUGUCCAUUUGUGCUCAUGGAUGAAUCAGUGCAUGAGCCCCAGGGGCUGGGUCAUAUUAUGUAAAUAUUAGUCGCUUUAGAAAUACCUACUCAGAGUUUCAAAAUAAAAUGUCAACCUCUAGGUUUUCCCUGCUUAUACAGCAUGAAAGAAAAUGUCACUGAUUUGAAUUUGAUGUAGGAAUAACAGCUUUUAUGCCAUGGAAUGUUUUCCUUCUCUGCUCAGUGGUAUUUGAUUUCUGAAGGAGUAAAAAAUUGUUCUCUAGGGACAAUUAUAUAUUUGAGAUAGGAAGAUGUGGUAGACCAAGCAGCUUAUGGAGUGACUGUGUGAAGUACAGACAAUUUGCUGGUAUAACACAGCUGCAAAAUAGCUAAGUGAGACAAAGUAUAUUCUGCACUGAAAAGUUCUAUAGGCCUGACUUAACGAUAAUAAUGAAUGUGAGAUGAUGUCGUGCAUCUCUUUUAAAGCUGAGAAAGCUAGAACUAUUAUGCAGUAUAUAUAUUUUUAAUGCAAGACUUUUACAGGAAGAUAAUAAUAAUAAUAAAAACCCCUUCUGUUAUUUAUCACAAGGUAUUCAGAGUCAUGGUUGGUGGAAUCUCAUUUGCGGAAUCCCUUCCUUAGUGAUGGAAGUCCUUUUCACCACUGCACUAAUCCCUACACAUGUGAACACAUUAUUUUUUCUGAGAUCUGCUUAGAAGAAUAGAUGAUACAACAUGACAAUCUGUGAUCACACCCAAUUUUUAUUUUAAAACAUGUGAAAUCUGGACCUGCUUUAAGAAAUAAAGAGGUGGCUAAUGUUUUUGUGAAUAGCAUUUAUAAAUAUUCUCAGCCUGACAAAUUUUGUGGCUAGAGACCAAUGCUGAAGAGACAUCUGCAGCCGGGGGAAGACGAAGGUGUCUAGUUGUGCUGCUGCACAUGCAGCAUGGCGUGUCUUGUCUCUGCGCUGCUCCCUUCAGCCAUUCCUAAAAUUCACAAAAUGUGUUCAUAAAAUGUUUCUUUCUAGUGUUAUUUGGCUACUGCAGAACAAACAGCUUCCUGAGGUAUAUUUUAAUGGCUGUGGCAUCUGUGGCAUGAGAAGGCAAAUUUGUUGAUGGCAACUCUUCUUUUUUCAUCUUCUCAGUCUACCCUCUUGCCUUGUGUAUUGAAGAUAAUGAGGCCAUUCUCAGAACAGGCCACUGCCUUUUUGCUACCAUUAUUACAUGUGCUGCCAUUUGUGUACUAAGAGGUCCAGAUGCUUGUGACAGCUUGAUUUCCUGGAGCAACCUACAAGGACACUGCAAGAAAGGCAAAAUGCUUUAGCUUCAGUGACAUGGAGGGGGAAAUAUUCUGCAAUGUGACAGUAGCAAUGCUACAAUUUCGUAACACUUUCAUCUCAAAUGUUUGCUUUUCUUUAGCUUCUGACAGCCUUAAGCAUCACCCUUUCAGCUAAAUUUCUUCUCCAGGCUGGAGAGAUUUAUACUUGUAUACAUUUAAACUGACUGUUUUCUAUCAGUUGUUUUAUCUGUUUGUUUAUGUUACUCCCCCCCACACACAGUUAAAGAGGAUAAGAUGACUGUUAUUGACUAUGCCAAUGUUUCUCAAACUUCGAUCGCCAGCUGUUGUUGGACUACAACUCCCAUCAUCCCUGACCAUUGGUCCUGCUAGCUAGGGAUGAUGGGAGUUGUUGUCAAACAACGGCUGGAGAUCCAUGUAUGAGAAACACUGGGCUAGCUAUAUCAUUAAAUGCUGCAUGUGUGUAUUGUAAAUCAGGAAUGGAAAACUGUGAGCCUCUAGGUGCUGCUGGUCUAUAGUUUCUUUGAUCCCUGACCAUUGGGCCAUACCGGCUGGGGCUGAUGACCAGGGCUGAGUCCAACAAGAACUGGAGGGUGGCAGCUUGGCCAUCCCUGUCUUAAACCAUGAUUCUUAAAGUUUAAGGAAGAUCUCUAUAUACAAAACUGCAAGCACUAAUUAGGAGAACUCUGAAUUCUUCUUGAACUCCAAACCUCAAUUUAGGUGUCUUGUUUGGAUGAAAACGUGGGCGUGCUGCUUCCCCUCUUCCAAAUCAGAGGAACACAAGCAAUUGUCUGGAUAAUAUGUCUUCCUACUUGUGCUGAUUAGGAGUGCUUGGAAUUCAAGACAACAAAUGCUUCCCUCCCCUAUAGGAUUUCCUCUGCAGUUUCAUUCUCUGGACGUCCACAUGGAGUUGCAGUGCAAUGACAGUUAGAAAAAAGGACCAGUGAGUACUAUCAACUUUUCCCCAUAAUAAUGCACGUCAUCUGUCUGAGAAUAAAGCAACUAAGGGGGAAGUAUGUCUAGUUAUUCUUUUCUGUGAAUUGCCAGGUUGGGCAGGGCAUGAAAGAGUUCACAGACUCAUCAGGAUUUUUGUUCCUCUGGAUUUAAAGGUUUUGUGACAUGUAGCUCAGGAUGGAUAAUUGUGUUGAUUUUGUUUUGUCUCAGAUUCUAAUUUUCCCAGUCUUAGGUUUCGUUUUCCACAUUUCUGCACCAGUCCUCCUGAAGAUAUAUUAGCAUUUUAGUAAAAUUUCUCCUAUUAUCACGGCUGGCUCACUCAUGAGGUGAGGUAAGGCAGUGGCCUCAGGGUCCAGACUUCGGGGGUGGGGGGAGGCAGCUUCUGAGAAGUGUGCUGCUUACUACCGCCUGCAUUUGUCAACCUCCUCUGUAUAUCCUGCAUGCCCUGAUGGGCAGAGUGGCAUUUUCUAUAUUGCUUCUAGUGGCAAAAUGUCCUGGGGCUGCCUACCAAUAAUGCAUGUCUUUGUAUGCAAUAUUGCCGGAUAUACCGAUUUUUGCAAGCCAUAUCCCCUAAUAAAAUGUAUUUAAGAUUC